Solanum pennellii is the source of this 584-nucleotide long non-coding RNA. RefSeq lists it as uncharacterized. The transcript has 2 exons. NCBI's taxonomy places the organism in Eukaryota, Viridiplantae, Streptophyta, Magnoliopsida, Solanales, Solanaceae. The record is from RefSeq and is a predicted model, not a curated record.
UCUUCAUAAUUUCAAAUUCCCAAAAUCAAAACCAAUUUUCCCCCAAACUCUCUCUCUAAAACUUCAAGAAACAACAAGAAGAAUGUGAAAGAUAGGGUUGAACGAGCAAGCUUCUCUACUCAAAUUUGUUGGAUUUCAUCUCCAAGAAAGUGAGAAAGGAGAUGAAGAUGAUACUGAAAGUGGGAAAGAUGCUGAAAAGGAAACUGCAAAAGAUGAUGAAGAGUUGAUAAUAUUAAGGCAUCGAUAAGCAAUUGUGAACGCAGAUCAAAAGUAUGACAUGAUGUUAUCGAAAUUUUUAGUAUUGACAAGUUUCUGGUGAAGAUGCCUAUAGAUAACCCUACAAAUUUGACUGUUAAAAUUGUUAUAAAAUCGGUAUGGACACCAAAUUUGAUGAUUUUCAAAAGACACUUAGGGUUGAAAAUUGGAGGAUUUCUUUAAGUCCAGUUGUUCUGGACACUUCGUUAUCGGAGGAUAACAAUGUACAAUUUCAAAUAAAUGUAAUGUAUGAUCUUGUCAUGAACUUGAUCAACUAUAAGGGUGAUGAUGUUUCGAAGGAACACGAAGAUGGAUGGAAUUUGAAUUAA